Molecule: ribosomal RNA, 253 nt
Filed under: uncultured bacterium
Lineage: Bacteria
Description: partial 16S ribosomal RNA
Rfam family: Bacterial small subunit ribosomal RNA
Source: RNAcentral
UACGUAGGUGGCAAGCGUUGUCCGGAUUUAUUGGGUUUAAAGGGUGCGUAGGCGGCCCUGUAAGCCAGCGCUGAAAUAUCCCGGCUUAACCGGGAGGGUGGCAUUGAUACUGCAGGGCUUGAGUAAAGUUGAGGUUGGCGGAAUUGACGGUGUAGCGGUGAAAUGCUUAGAUAUCGUCAAGAACACCGAUAGUGAAGACAGCUAACUAAGCUGUAACUGACGCUGAGGCACGAAAGCGUGGGGAGCGAACAGG